Molecule: long non-coding RNA, 239 nt
Filed under: Phaseolus vulgaris (common bean)
Lineage: Eukaryota; Viridiplantae; Streptophyta; Magnoliopsida; Fabales; Fabaceae
Description: long non-coding RNA (PVUL_LNC004851)
Source: RNAcentral
UUCUAAAAAUUAUCUUAUAUAUGAAUGUGUUCUUCAUUCAAUAAUAUUUUAUUGAUGCCGAGUAACAAACGCGUUGAGAAAAGUAAAAUAAAAGAGUACCGAUAUUUAGACACCUCCAUUUGCAUUGCUCUAGAAUACAUCCCUCUGACGUGGCGAUUUUAAUAUUAAACAAAUAGUGUGUGGGUCCCAGUUGCUGAGGUGGAAAAAUUGAAACGAAAAUUGCAUUUGAAGAGUGCAUU